Long non-coding RNA from Acanthopagrus latus (yellowfin seabream), 683 nucleotides. RefSeq lists it as uncharacterized. The record is from RefSeq and is a predicted model, not a curated record. Lineage: Eukaryota; Metazoa; Chordata; Actinopteri; Spariformes; Sparidae. The transcript is spliced from 4 exons.
UUACAGGCCAUGAGCAUCAGGUCGUCAUCGGAGCACGCCGACAGUCCUCUGAGGUCGCCGAGGGCUGGAGCUGGUUUGGGAGUGUUUUGGUGCGCUGGGAUCAUAAAGCCAACAGGCGGCCGGUCCACAGUCAGCAACGCUGUUUGUAGGUGUCGGGGUCCAGUUCUUGGGAGACGUCCUUCAUCCAGAGCAGAGCUCCUCUGUACUCGGUGCGGGCCUUCUCCAUACGGGUGACUGUCAGCAGCGUGUCAGCGAUGGCGCGCCGCCUGAACGUCUCCACUUCCUGGUGCAAGCGGUGCAGUGGCGGGCACAGAGCCAUCCUGAGGGACAAGACGAAGAUACACUGCUUCAACAUUUCUCAAAAUCAACUUGGCGUCCAGGUCGGCGUCUGAGGCCACCACGUACUCGUCCUCCUUCUUGCCCGUGGCUUUGAUGAGGACCUGCUUGGUCUUCCAGAACUUCUUCUGCAUGCGAGCCAUCACCGAGCUGUCCUCGCCGAGCAGAGCCCGGCCGCCGCUCAGCAUGUCCCCCGCAAACCUGCAGACCAAAGCCCGACCGAGCAUCAAUGCGGCUCAGCUCAGCUAGCCUCCUCUCCCGAAGACCGUCAUAAUCUGAGUCACUCAAACAGGAUAUGCAAAGUAGCCGUUGCGCCGUUUGGUCGCGAGGGGUCGCUGCUGUUCCGG